GACGAACGCUGGCGGCGUGCUUAACACAUGCAAGUCGAACGGAAAGGCCCUGCUUUUGUGGUGUGCUCGAGUUGCGAACGGGUGAGUAACACGUGAGUAACCUGCCUUUUACUUUGGGAUAACUUCAGGAAACUGGGGCUAAUAGCGGAUAGGAGCUCCUGCUGCAUGGUGGGGGUUGUGAGGUUUCGGCGGAUGGGGUUGGACUCGCGGCUUAUCAGGUUGUUGGUGGGGUAGUGGCUUACCAAGGCUUUGACGGGUAGCCGGCCUGAAAGGGUGACCGGACACAUUGGGACUGAGAUACGGCCCAGACUCCUACGGGAGGCAGCAGUGGGGAAUAUUGCACAAUGGGAGGAAGCCUGAUGCAGCAACGCCGCGUGCGGGAUGACGGCCUUCGGGUUGUAAACCGCUUUCGCCUGUGACGAAGCGUGAGUGACGGUAAUGGGUAAAGAAGCACCGGCUAACUACGUG
Molecule: ribosomal RNA, 468 nt
Filed under: uncultured bacterium
Lineage: Bacteria
Description: partial 16S ribosomal RNA
Rfam family: Bacterial small subunit ribosomal RNA
Source: RNAcentral